This is a regulatory RNA element of Clostridium sp. CAG:7, 138 nucleotides long. It matches the Rfam family "Ribosomal protein L10 leader". Rfam says of the family: This family is a putative r-protein leader autoregulatory structure found in B. subtilis and other low-GC Gram-positive bacteria. It is located in the 5' untranslated regions of mRNAs encoding ribosomal proteins L10 and L12 (rplJ-rplL). A Rho-independent transcription terminator structure that is probably involved in regulation is included at the 3' end. Lineage: Bacteria; Bacillati; Bacillota; Clostridia; Eubacteriales; Clostridiaceae. The record is from Rfam.
AUUAUGCGUGUUGAAUGCCCUGAGACAGCAGGUACCGUAAGGUGUAAGCUUAAAACGCCUGCCGAGGAACAUACAAAGCUCUAAUGAGAUUUUGCAUACCUCUCUGUCAUUGCGGCAGGGAGGUUUUUUUAUAAGAUC